Molecule: unclassified non-coding RNA, 2368 nt
Filed under: uncultured fungus
Lineage: Eukaryota; Fungi
Description: sequence contains 18S rRNA gene, ITS1, 5.8S rRNA gene, ITS2, 28S rRNA gene
Rfam family: Eukaryotic large subunit ribosomal RNA (bases 1150-2368)
Source: RNAcentral
GGAGGGAUCAUUAACGCUCUCUCUCAUCAUAUAUCAAAAAGGCUUCGGUAUUAUUAUUAUUCUAAUAAUAAUAUCAAAGCUGAACGCCUUGUGCGCGCGCGCGCGCGCACACACUUGAUUGUCAAUUUCGCGAUUGAUUUAUUGGUGUGUGCGCGUGCGCGCGCGCGCGCGCGCUUGAAUUUUGCGCAUUACGCGCAAAAUUCAGUGUUGAAGUACUCCAACAUAUAUUACAUAAACUACCAAUUUACACUUGAAUCACAAACAACAUACAUAUAUAUGUAACCACAUAUAUCAAUAACAACCAAAAUAACAACUCCUAACAACGGAUAUCUUGGUUCUCGCGAGGAUGAAGAACGCAGCGAAAUGCGAUACGUAGUGUGAAUCGCAGGGAUCAGUGAAUCAUCGAAUCUUUGAACGCAAGUUGCGCUCUUGUGGUUUAUACCCCCCAGGAGCACGUUCGCUUGAGUGCCGCUUUCUUACCUAUUCCAUCUAUAAAGUCUUGUUGAGACGUUGUUAAAAAUCUUUCAACAAGGAAACGGGUUUUACCUACGCGCGCGCGCGCAAGCGCAAGCGUAUAGGCAUGGCCUUAGAUUGUGUGACCCGCAUUAUGUAAAAAUAAUAAUAAUAAUAGUCUUGUGUGCGUCCACCAUUUGAAUUAGAUGCGCGCAUAUGCAUAUAGUGUGCAGUGGCACUGUGAUGCAGCGCGGCCUACUUUGCAAACUCAGCGCAAGAGCAGCUGUGAGAGUGUGAGGUGGCAGAGUUUGGGUUUAUUAUUAAUCCGUGCGCGUGCGCGCGCGCGCGCGCUGAACAAAGUCCAAGUUCCAAACGCACACACAUGUUUAAGUAGUAGUAGUGUCGUGUCACCCGUAACUGGGUGUGCGUCGCCGCGGAAAUUUGAGCAUUGUGGUGUUGGAACUUGAUUAUGCUUCAGCGCGCGCGCGAAUGUGUGCGAAUAUGGAUUUUGAUGAACUCGCUUUGCUAUUCCAAAACCAAACAUUUUCUUACUACUACUUAUAUGUACUGAUGUUUCGCGCAAAGUGGGGUACGCUGCGUGUGAGUGUGUUGUACGCAUUAUCAUUGCGCCCUAAUAAUAGUUGGUGUGCGUAUAUAUAAGCAUAAGACUUAUUAUAUACACUCUUAUUAUAAUCCCGGCCUCAAGUCGAGCGACAGUACCCGCCGAAUUUAAGCAUAUUAAUAAGCGGAGGAAAAGAAACCAACAGGGAUUCCCUUAGUAGCGGCGAGCGAAGCGGGAGGAGCCCAAGCUCUGAAUCUGGGCGCGCGCCAAGUCCGUGCCCCGAAUUGUGGUCUCAUGGCAAGGCAUCGCUGAGCGCGGUUGCUGGUCGGGCAAAAGUCCCUUGGAAAAGGGCGCCAGGGAGGGUGACAGCCCCGUCCAUUGGUCCGGCACGAAGCAGCCGUCUCGAUCGCGCUGUUGCACUUGCCCCAGAGUCGGGUUGUUUGGGAAUGCAGCCCUAAGCGGGUGGUAAAUCCCACCCAAGGCUAAAUAUUGUCAGCGAGAGACCGAUAGCGAACAAGUACCGUGAGGGAAAGAUGAAAAGGACUUUGAAAAGAGAGUCAAAAGUGCUUGAAAUUGUUAGGAGGGAAGCGAUCGGCACCGGCAGUUCGUCUUUGUUAAAGCUGUUCAGUAGUUUAUUGUAGGAAGGCUGCGAAUGUAAAGAGUGCUUUAUUGUGCCUUUAUUUUGUGUCACUCUUGUGAUAAAUUAUGCAUUCAGUUUUAAUAGCGAGCCAGCAUCAGCUCCAUGUGUGUGGCUGACGGGUAAUAAGGAAUGGGCUUGGAAGGCCGGCUUCAUCGCCGUGUCCUUCCGACGCGACCUUAUUAUACCUGCCACACGCGAGGGCUGAGGAACCAAUUAACCCAUGCCCGCAAGGGCGAGGCAGUUGCGUCAUCGUAGUAGGCCUAUAUGUGGGGAUCGGGAACCGAUGCCUGUGUAUAGAUGUCUUAUUGCUUUGUGGCGCAAGUCCAUCUCUGGUGGGUUAGUGAUGCUGGCGGAACGGUGCUGAUCGACCCGUCUUGAAACACGGACCAAGGAGUCUAACACGUGCGCGAGUGUCCGGGUGGCAAACCUGGGCGCGGAGUGAAAGCAGAGGAUGGCAUUUAUGGUCAUCUGAGGUGGGAAGAUAUGUGCCCACUCGGGCAUAUAUCUGCACCACCGGCCGACCUGGAUUUUCUUGAAGGGUUUGAGCUAGAGCGUAUUUGUUGGGACCCGAAAGAUUGUGAACUAUGGGUGACCAGGACGAAGCCAGAGGAAACUCUGGUGGAGGUCCGAAGUGAUACUGACGUGCAAAUCGUUCAUCUGAGUUGCCUAUAGGGGCGAAAGACUAAUCGAACAAUCUAGUAGCUGGUUCCCUC